CCUACGGGUAGCAGCAGUGAGGAAUAUUGGUCAAUGGCCGUAAGGCUGAACCAGCCAAGUAGCGUGAGGGAAGACUGCCCUACGGGUUGUAAACCUCUUUUAUGCGGGGAUAAAGGUGUCCACGUGUGGAUGUUUGCAGGUACCGCAUGAAUAAGGACCGGCUAAUUCCGUGCCAGCAGCCGCGGUAAUACGGAAGGUCCGGGCGUUAUCCGGAUUUAUUGGGUUUAAAGGGAGCGUAGGCCGGUCUUGAAGCGUGCCGUGAAAUUUUGUGGCUCAACCAGGGGCUUGCGGCGCGAACUGGCGAGCUUGAGUGCGCGGAAAGCAGGCGGAAUUCGUGGUGUAGCGGUGAAAUGCUUAGAUAUCACGAAGAACCCCGAUUGCGAAGGCAGCUUGCCGCAGCGUAACUGACGCUGAUGCUCGAAAGCGCGGGUAUCGAACAGGAUUAGAUACCCUUGUAGUC
RNAcentral lists this ribosomal RNA (460 nucleotides) under uncultured bacterium. RNAcentral describes it as "partial 16S ribosomal RNA". It matches the Rfam family "Bacterial small subunit ribosomal RNA", at positions 338 to 795 of the family's 1533-position model. The record is from RNAcentral.